CGCAGCCGCGGUAAUUCCAGCUCCAAUAGCGUAUAUUAAAGUUGUUGCAGUUAAAAAGCUCGUAGUUGAAUUUCGGGAUCAAUAUGUUGGUCGUGCCUUGGUACGUACUGGCAUUAUCGAUUCCUACCCUCUGAAGAACCUCGAUGUCAUUAAUUUGGUGUCUUGGGGAAUCAGGACUGUUACUUUGAAAAAUUAGAGUGUUUAAAGCAGGCUCGCGCUUGAAUACAUUAGCAUGGAAUAAUGAAAUAGGACGUUUGAUUCUAUUUUGUUGGUUUCUAGGAUCGACGUAAUGAUUAAUAGGGAUAGUUGGGGGCAUUAGUAUUCAAUUGUCAGAGGUGAAAUUCUUGGAUUUAUUGAAGACUAACUACUGCGAAAGCAUUUGCCAAGGAUGUUUUCAUUAAUCUAAGAACGAAAGUUAGGGGAUCGAAGACGAUCAGAUACCGUCGUAGUCUUAACCAUAAACUAUGCCGACUAGGGAUCGGAUGAUGUUAAUUUUUAAUGACUCA
Molecule: ribosomal RNA, 506 nt
Filed under: uncultured Glomeraceae
Lineage: Eukaryota; Fungi; Glomeromycota; Glomeromycetes; Glomerales; Glomeraceae
Description: SSU rRNA
Rfam family: Eukaryotic small subunit ribosomal RNA
Source: RNAcentral